UACGGAGGGUGCAAGCGUUGUCAGGAAUUAUUGGGCGUAACGGGCACGCAGGCGGUUCCUUAAGUCGGAUGUGAAAGCCCGUGGCUCAACCACGGAGGGCCACUGGAAACUGGGGAAAUUGAGAACUGAAGAGGAGAGUGGAAUUCCACGUGUAGCGGUGGAAUGCGUAGAUAUGUGGAGGAACACCAGUGGCGAAGGCGACUCUCUGGUCGGUUGCUGACGCUGAGGUGCGAAAGCGUGGGUAGCAAACAGG
RNAcentral lists this unclassified non-coding RNA (253 nucleotides) under uncultured Bacillaceae bacterium. Its description in RNAcentral is "contains 16S-23S intergenic spacer region". It matches the Rfam family "Bacterial small subunit ribosomal RNA", at positions 524 to 776 of the family's 1533-position model. The record is from RNAcentral. Lineage: Bacteria; Bacillati; Bacillota; Bacilli; Caryophanales; Bacillaceae.